CCUACGGGUGGCAGCGGUGGGGAAUAUUGGACAAUGGGGGGAACCCUGAUCCAGCGACGCCGCGUGAGUGAAGAAGUAUUUCGGUAUGUAAAGCUCUAUCAGUAGAGAAGAAAGAAAUGACGGUACCUGACUAAGAAGCCCCGGCUAAAUACGUGCAAGCAGCCGCGGUAAUACGUAGGGGGCAAGCGUUAUCCGGAUUUACUGGGUGUAAAGGGAGCGUAGACGGUUACGCAAGUCUGGAGUGAAAGGCGGGGGCCCAACCCCCGGACUGCUUUGGAAACUGUAUAACUGGAGUGCAGGAGAGGUAAGUGGAAUUCGUAGUGUAGCGGUGAAAUGCGUAGAUAUUAGGAGGAACACCAGUGGCGAAGGCGGCUUACUGGACUGUAACUGACGUUGAGGCUCGAAAGCGUGGGGAGCAAACAGGAUUAGAUACCCUGGUAGUC
RNAcentral lists this ribosomal RNA (443 nucleotides) under uncultured bacterium. Its description in RNAcentral is "partial 16S ribosomal RNA". It matches the Rfam family "Bacterial small subunit ribosomal RNA", at positions 338 to 795 of the family's 1533-position model. The record is from RNAcentral.